AAGUCGUAACAAGGUUUCCGUAGGUGAACCUGCGGAGGGAUCAUUACCACGUGUAAAACGUACUUAUCAACCAAACGUGAACUCGUUCCUUACCUAGGCUCAAACUGAGAUUAUGGACCCGUCAAUGGUGUGGACGGACAUAACUCUCACCAGGUGAAAUAGACUGGAGGUUUGGGUUUAGGCUAAUUUUUUCCCACCAUACAAUUAACCUUAUUCACCUUUACUAAUUGACUAACCUCUAUCCACUUGAACUCGAAAGGGUCUAAGUGUGAAUCGAAAUUAUCACAACUAAGUACAACUCUUAGCAACGGAUAUCUCGGUUCUC
Molecule: unclassified non-coding RNA, 325 nt
Filed under: fungal sp.
Lineage: Eukaryota; Fungi
Description: partial internal transcribed spacer region
Rfam family: Eukaryotic small subunit ribosomal RNA (bases 1-46)
Source: RNAcentral